CGAGCACGCGCGUGUGGCAUAUCAAUAAGCGGAGGAAAAGAAACUAACAAGGAUUCCCCUAGUAACGGCGAGUGAAGCGGGAAGAGCUCAAAUUUGAAAUCUUAAAGGGUUUCCCUUUACGAAUUGUAGUUUAAAGAAGUGUUUUCUGUUGGAGUUUCGGUAAAAGUUCUUUGGAAUAGGACAUCAUAGAGGGUGAGAAUCCCGUAUUUGACCGUUACUUUCCAGCUGUGUGAUACACUUUCAAAGAGUCGGAUUGUUUGGAAAUGCAGUCCAAAAUGGGUGGUAAAUUUCAUCUAAAGCUAAAUAUUGGCGAGAGACCGAUAGCGAACAAGUACCGUGAGGGAAAGAUGAAAAGAACUUUGAAAAGAGAGUUAAACAGUACGUGAAAUUGUCAAAAGGGAAGCGUUUGACACCAGUGUUGUUUAGUUGAAAAUCAAUUCAAUAAUUUUUGAUUUUAAGUAGUAUUGACUUCAUCAGCUUGCUGCUUUCUUUUCAGGAAUUAUUGAAUGCACUUUUCAGUUAACAAGUCAACAUCAAUUUCUUUUGUUGUAAAAGGGUAAGAGGAAGGUGGCUUACGUUUCGGCGUAAGUGUUUAUAGCCUUUUACCUCUGCAAUCGGAGAGAUUGAGGACAGCAGCGUAGACUCCUUCUGGGGUUAGAUACACUUGUGCUAAGUUAUAGCUUUUCAUAGACAACUUGUUGACUAUGUUAAGUCUUGUAGCUUACUCGCUUAUGCUAUUUUACCUACGCUUAGGAUGUUGAGUCAUCACACAUCUCU
RNAcentral lists this ribosomal RNA (777 nucleotides) under uncultured Neocallimastigales. RNAcentral describes it as "partial large subunit ribosomal RNA". It matches the Rfam family "Eukaryotic large subunit ribosomal RNA", at positions 19 to 618 of the family's 3401-position model. Lineage: Eukaryota; Fungi; Neocallimastigomycota; Neocallimastigomycetes; Neocallimastigales. The record is from RNAcentral.